UCAUGGCUCAGAUUGAACGCGGGCGGCAUGCCUUACACAUGCAAGUCGAACGGCAGCACGGGAGCAAUCCUGGUGGCGAGUGGCGAACGGGUGAGUAAUACAUCGGAACGUGCCCAAUCGUGGGGGAUAACGCAGCGAAAGCUGUGCUAAUACCGCAUAAGAUCUACGGAUGAAAGCAGGGGACCCGCAAGGGCCUUGCGCGAAUGGAGCGGCUGAUGGCAGAUUAGGUAGUUGGUGAGGUAAAGGCUCACCAAGCCUUCGAUCUGUAGCUGGUCUGAGAGGACGACCAGCCACACUGGGACUGAGACACGGCCCAGACUCCUACGGGAGGCAGCAGUGGGGAAUUUUGGACAAUGGGCGCAAGCCUGAUCCAGCCAUGCCGCGUGCAGGAUGAAGGCCUUCGGGUUGUAAACUGCUUUUGUACGGAACGAAAAGGUUCUCUCUAAUAAAGGGGGCUCAUGACGGUACCGUAAGAAUAAGCACCGGCUAACUACGUGCCAGCAGCCGCGGUAAUACGUAGGGUGCAAGCGUUAAUCGGAAUUACUGGGCGUAAAGCGUGCGCAGGCGGUGAUGUAAGACAGUUGUGAAAUCCCCGGGCUCAACCUGGGAACUGCAUCUGUGACUGCAUCGCUGGAGUGCGGCAGAGGGGGAUGGAAUUCCGCGUGUAGCAGUGAAAUGCGUAGAUAUGCGGAGGAACACCGAUGGCGAAGGCAAUCCCCUGGGCCUGCACUGACGCUCAUGCACGAAAGCGUGGGGAGCAAACAGGAUUAGAUACCCUGGUAGUCCACGCCCUAAACGAUGUCAACUGGUUGUUGGGUCUUCACUGACUCAGUAACGAAGCUAACGCGUGAAGUUGACC
This 859-nucleotide ribosomal RNA is filed under the name uncultured bacterium. RNAcentral's name for it is "bacterial SSU rRNA". It matches the Rfam family "Bacterial small subunit ribosomal RNA", at positions 17 to 870 of the family's 1533-position model. The record is from RNAcentral.